CAUAAUUCACAAUUUCACAAUUUCACAAUUUUACCAUAAAUUUAUCAUCUUUUACAAUUUAAUCCCUAAUUGAUAAUUUCAUCAAAAUUCUUUUUACAAAAGUUGCUUAUCUAACAACAACUUUUCAUUUUUUUAUCAUAAAGCUUCAAAAUUCAAGCAUACUCAUUGUAGGGCCCAAUUUCUACCCGGCCCGUUAAAUAAAUAAAAACCAAAUAGAAACAAAGGCUAAUGUUUCAGUCCAAUUUUGUUACAAACCCAAUAACGGGCCCAAUAGCUAAUUCCUAACACAGGCCCGAAAUUAAUGGAAAAGGAAGGGUUUGGAAACCUAGCAGCAGCCUCCCCGCUUCCAGCAAAGCCUCCAGCCGCCGCACGUCUCGGGACCGACUCCUCCACGUGCGCUCCACAAACACCUGCAAGCACGAACUCAAAGAGUCCGAAAGAGAAGAAACAGCCAAAAAUAGCAAUUAUAUUCGAUUUCUUUUUCUUUUUCGGGCUAUAUAAAGCCGUUUUAUUUUGUAAAAUGGGGA
RNAcentral lists this long non-coding RNA (527 nucleotides) under Gossypium raimondii (Peruvian cotton). Its description in RNAcentral is "long non-coding RNA (GRAI_LNC007322)". The record is from RNAcentral. Lineage: Eukaryota; Viridiplantae; Streptophyta; Magnoliopsida; Malvales; Malvaceae.